RNAcentral lists this ribosomal RNA (490 nucleotides) under uncultured bacterium. RNAcentral's name for it is "partial 16S ribosomal RNA". It matches the Rfam family "Bacterial small subunit ribosomal RNA", at positions 30 to 507 of the family's 1533-position model. The record is from RNAcentral.
AUUGAACGCUGGCGGCAUGCCUAACACAUGCAAGUCGAACGGUAACAGGAAACAGCUUGCUGUUUCGCUGACGAGUGGCGGACGGGUGUGUAAUGUCUGUGAAACUGCCUGAUGGAGGGGGAUAACUACUGGAAACGGUAGCUAAUACCGCAUAACGUCGCAAGACCAAAGAGGGGUACCUUCGGGCCUCUUGCCAUCGGAUGUGCCCAGAUGGGAUUAGCUAGUAGGUGGGGUAACGGCUCACCUAGGCGACGAUCCCUAGCUGGUCUGAGAGGAUGACCAGCCACACUGGAACUGAGACACGGUCCAGACUCCUACGGGAGGCAGCAGUGGGGAAUAUUGCACAAUGGGCGAAAGCCUGAUGCAGCCAUGCCGCGUGUAUGAAGAAGGCCUUCGGGUUGUAAAGUACUUUCAGCGGGGAGGAAGGAAGUAAAGAUAAUACAUUUGCUCAUUGACGUUACCCGCAGAAGAAGCCCCGGCUAACUCCGUG